CAUAUGCUUGUCUCAAAGNNUAAGCCAUGCAUGUCUCAUUACAAGNCAAAUUANGGUGAAACCGCGANAGGCUCAUUAAAUCAGUUAUGGUUCCUUAGAUCGUACCCACAAUUACUUGGAUAACUGUGGUAAUUCUNGAGCUAAUACAUGCAAAUAGAGCUCGAACCGGAGACGGAAGGANUGCUUUUAUUANAUCANAACCAAUCGGUGGCGGGCUCGCGCUCGUCAUCGUCCAACUUGGUGACUCUGAAUAACUUUACNCUGAUCGCACGGUCUCGCACCGGCGACGCAUCUUUCAAAUGUCUGCCUUAUCNACUGUCNAUGGUAGGUUCUGCNCCUACCAUGGUUGUAACGGGUAACGGGGAAUCAGGGUUCGAUUCCGGAGAGGGAGCCUGAGAAACGGNUACCACAUCCAANGAAGGCAGCNGGCGCGCAAAUUACCCACUCCCNGCACGGGGANGUAGUGACGAAAAAUAACGAUACGGGANUCAUCCGAGGNCCCGUAAUCGGAAUGAGUACANUNUAAACCCUUUCGCAAGGAUCAAUUNNNNNNNNNNNNNNNNNNNNNNNNNNNNGGUAAUUCCAGCUCCAAUAGCGUAUAUUAAAGUUGUUGCGGUUAAAAAGCUCGUAGUCGAAUUUGUGUCUCGCGCCGCCGGUUCAUCGUUCGCGGUGUUAACUGGCGAGUCGCGAGACGUCCUGCCGGUGGGCUUAGCCCGCAAGGGCGGCCCAACUCAAUCCUGCCGCGGUGCUCUUNACUGAGUGUCGAGGUGGGCCGGCACGUUUACUUUGAACAAAUUAGAGUGCUUAAAGCAGGCUAAAACUUCGCCUGAAUACUGUGUGCAUGGAAUAAUGGAAUAGGACCUCGGUUCUAUUUUGUUGGUUUUCGGAACCCCGAGGUAAUGAUUAAUAGGAACGGAUGGGGGCAUUCGUAUUGCGACGUUAGAGGUGAAAUUCUUGGAUCGUCGCAAGACGGACAGAAGCGNAAGCAUUUGCCCAAAANGCUUUCAUUGAUNCAGGACGNAAGUUAGAGGUUCGNAGGCGAUCAGAUACCGCCCUAGUUCUAACCAUAAACGAUGUCAGCUAGCGAUCCGUCGACGUUCCUCCGAUGACUCGANGGGCAGCUUCCGGGAAACCAAAGCUUUUGGGUUCCGGGGGAAGUAUGGUUGCAAANCUGAAACUUAAAGGAAUUGACGGAAGGGCACCACCAGGAGUGGAGCCUGCGGCUUAAUUUGACUCAACACGGGAAACCUCACCAGGCCCGGACANNGGAAGGAUUGACANAUUGAGAGCUCUUUCUUGAUUCGGUGGGUGGUGGUGCAUGGCCGUUCUUANUUGGUGGANCNAUUUGUCUGGUUAAUUCCGAUAACGAACGAGACUCUAGCCUGCUAANUAGGCGUAUUUUGACAUCCUAAAGGCCCGCCGGCUUGGGGUUCGCCUCUUGUNNGNGNGCGGUUUUUACUGUCGGCGUACAAACAAUUNUUCUUAGAGGGACAGGCGGNUUCUAGCCGCACGAGAUUGAGCAAUAACAGGUCUGUGAUGCCCUUAGAUGUUNUGGGCCGCACGCGCGCUACACUGAAGGAAUCAGCGUGUCCUCCCUGGCCGAGUGGCCCGGGUAACCCGCUGAACCUCCUUCGUGCUAGGGAUUGGGGNUUGCAAUUGUUCCCCAUGAACGAGGAAUUCCCAGUAAGCGCGAGUCAUAAGCUCGCGUUGAUUACGUNCCUGCCCUUUGUACACACCGC
This 1739-nucleotide ribosomal RNA is filed under the name Listronotus cryptops. Its description in RNAcentral is "partial 18S ribosomal RNA". It matches the Rfam family "Eukaryotic small subunit ribosomal RNA". Lineage: Eukaryota; Metazoa; Arthropoda; Insecta; Coleoptera; Curculionidae. The record is from RNAcentral.